UACGUAGGGGGCAAGCGUUAUCCGGAUUUACUGGGUGUAAAGGGAGCGUAGACGGAUGGACAAGUCUGAUGUGAAAGGCUGGGGCUCAACCCCGGAACUGCAUUGGAAACUGCCCGUCUUGAGUGCCGGAGAGGUAAGCGGAAUUCCUAGUGUAGCGGUGAAAUGCGUAGAUAUUAGGAGGAACACCAGUGGCGAAGGCGGCUUACUGGACGGUAACUGACGUUGAGGCUCGAAAGCGUGGGGAGCAAACAGG
This 253-nucleotide ribosomal RNA is filed under the name Blautia luti. RNAcentral describes it as "partial 16S ribosomal RNA". It matches the Rfam family "Bacterial small subunit ribosomal RNA", at positions 524 to 776 of the family's 1533-position model. Lineage: Bacteria; Bacillati; Bacillota; Clostridia; Lachnospirales; Lachnospiraceae. The record is from RNAcentral.